UUUUUAUAUACUUUAUACAUAAAUUAGCACCAAUGCCAUCUCUUUUAUUGAUUCUAAUGUUUACAGAUUCUUUUGAGCCUCCUUUGUACACAAUCAUAUCUGUGGUCUCUCUAAGCUGCUAUGUUGCCCAGGCUGGGCUCAAACUUGUGAUCCUUCUACCUCAGAUUCUCAGAGUUCUGGGAUUACAGAUUAAAAGCGAGAAAUGGUACCCCCCAAACACAGGAAGGGGUUGGUCUCUGCAGUCGGGAGAAGAAGAGGACAUGAAGAUGUAUAAUGUCCCAUGCGGGAGGAAGCCUUGCCAAGCCCCUCAGGAUUUAUAACAGGCUCACCUGAAGGAGAAAUGGGGUGCUUACACCAUCAGGUACCUGGAGAGACACUGUCAUUUCCUCACUGUGGAGUUUGCAAGCAGAUGGUAAAGCGGGUUUAAUUUGAAAACAGUGAAACACCGUGUACGCUCAAAACCAGGACAAUUGCAGUUUUAUUGUCUCCACUCAGAAAAAUGUGUGCCGGGAUCAUCUUGGGGCCCGAAUGGGGAGAAAAGCACCCGUGAUGCGCUUUGUUGGGUUUUUGACUCCUGUGGAAUCGCUGGAAAAACAUCGCCGCUGGUCAUAGGAAUUGUCCCCACUGUCGGAGACGCCAUCUCAGUUCUUUGUCCUAACAGACUCUAGAAGGUAGCUUUUGAGACCCCAAGGAGGCAAUGGAAAUCUGAAGACCCAGAGUCUUCCAUGUAUACGUGGGACAUGUCAUUAAACCCAAAUAGUGAACAUUCCGCUAAAUGUAAUCUUUAAGGCAAGCCAAACUGUCAAGUGAGAUGCGGUGAGCAGAUACGAGUUCUUUUUAUCGCAUGACUGUUUUAUUAAUAUUUAUUUCACAAUUUUUAUCAUUAUCAUUAUUAUUUCCACUAUUUCAUUUUGACAUUUAGAGGAUCAGCUUGUCAAUGAAAUG
RNAcentral lists this long non-coding RNA (945 nucleotides) under Heterocephalus glaber (naked mole-rat). RNAcentral's name for it is "lncRNA (ENSHGLG00100033414.1)". Lineage: Eukaryota; Metazoa; Chordata; Mammalia; Rodentia; Bathyergidae. The record is from RNAcentral.